UCCGAAGGGUUGGAGCUCCAAAGAUUGAAUGAAAUAAAUGUGCGAUUUAAGCACCUACAAAAUAUAGUCCAUGCGGAAGCUGAAAUCAUGGCAUACUUUAUGCUGGAAACUAAAACAAUUUGCAGCACAAGAAGGUUCUUCUUGUAGAAUGGCUUCAAAGGGCUAGUACAAAGAAAGUAUUACCUAAAACCAGAACCGGCACCUAUUUCCGUGAAGAAGGGGCGACUAUUCGGCGACAGGAUGUGUGGUGGCGGCUGUUAUCCUUGCUGCAGCCUUUGCUGUGGACCCUGUUGUGGACUCUGCUGUGAACCGUGCUGUGGACCGUGCUGUGGACCCUGUUGUGGACCCUGCUGUGGACCCUGCUGCAAUCCGUGCUGCGGUCCGUGCUGCAGCCCCUGCUGCAGCCCCUGCUGUGGACCCUGCUGCAGUCCGUGCUGCAGCCCCUGCUGCUAUCCCUGCUGCUCCCCCUGCUGCUAUCCCUGCUCCUAUCCCUGCUGCUAUCCCUGUGGGGCCCUCGGCGGUGGCUGCUGUUCAGGCUGUUGAUGAUGUUCCACGGCCAUUUCUUUAGAAAGAAAUCCAGGUGCUGGAUUCUGGUUCAGCCAAAUUCAGCCAAAAUCAUA
Drosophila pseudoobscura is the source of this 620-nucleotide long non-coding RNA. RefSeq lists it as uncharacterized. The transcript is spliced from 2 exons. The record is from RefSeq and is a predicted model, not a curated record. NCBI's taxonomy places the organism in Eukaryota, Metazoa, Arthropoda, Insecta, Diptera, Drosophilidae.